GUCUACAGCCAUGCCAUCCUGAAUGUACCCGAUCUCAUCUGAUCUCAGAAGCAAAGCAGGGUCAGGCCUUGUUAGUAGUUAGAUGGGAGACCACUUAUGAAUACCAGGUGCUGUAGGUG
This 119-nucleotide ribosomal RNA is filed under the name Pteropus alecto (black flying fox). The record is from RNAcentral. RNAcentral also lists the same sequence under 1 other name. Lineage: Eukaryota; Metazoa; Chordata; Mammalia; Chiroptera; Pteropodidae.